RNAcentral lists this ribosomal RNA (660 nucleotides) under Golovinomyces neosalviae. RNAcentral's name for it is "partial large subunit ribosomal RNA". It matches the Rfam family "Eukaryotic large subunit ribosomal RNA", at positions 65 to 737 of the family's 3401-position model. The record is from RNAcentral. Lineage: Eukaryota; Fungi; Ascomycota; Leotiomycetes; Helotiales; Erysiphaceae.
CCAACCGGGAUUACCUCAGUAACGGCGAGUGAAGCGGUAACAGCUCAAAUUUGAAAUCUGGCUCCUGCGGAGUCCGAGUUGUAAUUUGUAGAAGAUGCUUUGGGAGGUAGGACCGGCCUAAGUUCCUUGGAACAGGACAUCAGAGAGGGUGAGAAUCCCGUAUGCGGCCGAGGCCUAUGCCCGUGUAAAGCUCUUUCGACGAGUCGAGUUGUUUGGGAAUGCAGCUCAAAAUGGGUGGUAAAUUUCAUCUAAAGCUAAAUAUUGGCCAGAGACCGAUAGCGCACAAGUAGAGUGAUCGAAAGAUGAAAAGCACUUUGGAAAGAGAGUUAAACAGUACGUGAAAUUGUUGAAAGGGAAGCGCUUGCACCCAGACUUGGGCGUCGUCGAUCAUCCGAGGUUCUCCUCGGUGCACUCGGCGAUGCGCAGGCCAGCAUCGGUUUGGGUGGUUGGAGAAAGGCCUCUAGGAACGUAGCUCUCUUCGGGGAGUGUUAUAGCCUAGGGCGUAAUGCAGCCCAUCCGGACCGAGGACCGCGCCUUUGGGCUAGGAUGCUGGCGUAAUGGUUGCAAGCGACCCGUCUUGAAACACGGACCAAGGAGUCUAACAUCUAUGCGAGUGUUUGGGCGUUAAACCCAUACGCGGAAUGAAAGUGAACGUAGGUG